This 441-nucleotide ribosomal RNA is filed under the name Triticum aestivum (bread wheat). RNAcentral describes it as "partial small subunit ribosomal RNA". The record is from RNAcentral. Lineage: Eukaryota; Viridiplantae; Streptophyta; Magnoliopsida; Poales; Poaceae.
AUGAUGUAUGCCACCGGCCGCCUGGAUGUCUCCCACGGACUCCCGCUGCUCUACUCUAUGGCGCAGUGCAACCUGGACCUACGACCGAAUGACUGCUGGGAUUGCCUCGACAAUAUCAGGAGCGUAGCAAGGGGUUCCUUCCACGAGCAACAUGGUGAAUGGAUUGCUGGUGUGUGGUGCAAUUUUAGGUACAGCACGUAUCAGUUCUACAAUGACCAGCCCACGAAGAAGACCGGCUGGUCAGAUGUUGUAGAUCCAACAACAAACAUGCCGGCGCCAGGGCCGUUUACCCCAUUGGCCCUGUUCCAAGUUGUUUUAGCUGUCUCAGAAGACACGUGUUGUACCUCUAUACCUGCAAACAUGGCAAAGGGCUGCCGUGCAGAAGUGAUGCUACAUGUCUACCACAUGUCAUCCAAAUCAGCUCAAAACCGCUUGGGAUAG